CGAGGAUCAUUGCCUCGACCCCAUCCCCCACCGCGCGGCGACGCCCCCUACGGGCUGGGACACCUCCACUCUCGGACUGCUGCCGGGUUUCCCUCCGGCUGCGACCCUGGAGGAUUUGAUGGAAAUGCUACAAGAGAAGCAGGCUCUCCCCUUCUGAAAUGAUGAGUGAUAAUGACCAUACAGGUCAACUUUUCCACCACUUGGAGGGAGCCUGUCAAAGAACAAAGGCAACAGAGAAGAGAGCAGAGCUGAGGUUGGGUGAGAGGGAGAAAUUCCUGAGUGCUUGAAUCCCACAUGCCGGAAGCCGCACCACACUUGGACUUCUCAAUACAGGAGCCACUGAGAAACCAAGUCAUGCUGAAGACCUGGAAAUCCCAGCAGGCUGCAAACCAGCUGCAACUACAAUGGGUCAGCCCUUUUGAGAUGCUGCUGACUACCCACUUAUCUGCCAAGUUAGCCAGUGUUAAGCCAUGGAUUCACCACGCUCAGAUAAAACCUGCCCCUCUGGGAUCCCUCCAGAAAAAAACAGGCAUGCUGUUGUGAACCCUAAGAUGGCCUUAAGUUAAUAUUCAAUGCCCAGCCAAAGACCCUAAAUAAGAAGUCAUAAAGGAAACAUGUGCUUUUCAGAGUCUCACUCUGUCACUCAGGCUGGAGUGCAGUGGUAUAAUCUCAGCUCACUGCAACCUCCACCUCUCAGGUUCAAGCAAUUCUCAUGCUUCAGCCUCCCAAGUAGCUAGGACUACAGGUGUGCACCACCAUGCCCAGGUAAUUUUUGUAUUUUUAAUAGAUACAGGGUUUCACCACGUUGCUCAGGCUGGUCUUGAACUCCUGACCUCAAGUGAGCCACAUCUGCCUCAGCCUCCCGGAGUGCUAGGAUUGCAGGUGUGAGCCACCACACCCAGCCAUGAAUCAGAAAUACUUUUUAAUAGGCUUAGGAUUGUUCUCUUGGAUUCCUUAAGGGAUCCACUUUAAUUCUUGGGUGUUUUUUUUUUUUUUAAUCAUGGUGCUCCAACAAGCGGGAUGCCAGUCAGGUAAUCCUGAGCACUUCAGAUUCAGGGGUGAUGUUUGCAUUUCCCAUCAUUAUCCCACAAUGCACCCCUUAGCAUUAAGUAGCCAAAAAGGCAGACAACCAUAUUCCCCAUGAUCGAAAAAUUGAUGAAUAGAAAAAAGGGGAUUAAAACCAGCCCAAUUGUCCCAUAGAAAUGAUAUUACGGUUUUUAAAAGAAACAUAAAAAUUAACCUUCCUGUUUUUAAAAUUUAAAACUUACAUUUAUCUCAUCUGAAUUCCUUCCUCAAAAAACAGACACUCAGGCAAAAACAAAAACCUAAAACUCAUCAGAUCACUGUAUCCAGACAGAGACGCCAGACCCCUCAUCCAUCAUGAUUGCUUCUAUACUCCUCCUUAAUUCCUAUUUUCCCACCUUUCCUGCUAUACAAAACCCCCAAUUUUAGUCGGUCAGACAAACACAUUUGAGACUUUAUCUCCUGUUCUCCUUGGCUGCAACACCCCGUUAAAGUUUUCUUCCCUGGCAAUAGUUACUGUCUCAGUGAUUGGCAUUCUGUGUAACAAGCAGCAGAACCUAGACUGGAACCCUGGUGUUUCAGUAACAUUACCUUGUAGUAAAUGCUGUUGUGUCAUGCCCAGAUUCACUUUACCAAGCCCAGAUCCCACAGAUUAAAGGGCUCAGCUCCACAAGACUUCAGACACCAGCCACAAAUGGGGUCCCCAGGUGACCCACACUUCUGCCCAGUGGACUAUAAAUUCAAGGGUUCUGUGACUUUCCCUACCCAGCUUUGAUAAUUCACUAGAAUCCUCACAGAACUCAGGAAAAUGCCAUACCUACUAUUACACUUUAUUAUGAUGGACACACACGAGCAGCCAGAUGGAGGGGUACUGAGGAAGCAUCUGAAUGCAGGAGGCUCUGUCCCUGGAGAGUUGGGAUGAGCCACUCUCCUGGAUGUGUUCACCAACUCAGAAGCUCUCCAAGCCCCAUUGUGUAGGGAUUUUUUAUGGCAGUUUCAGUAAGUACACAUGAUUGAUUAAAUCAUUGGCCAUUGGUGAUUGAACUCAAUCUCUAGCCCCUCUCCUGCUCUCAGAGGUGGAAGAGCAAGGCUGGAAGUUCUAACCUUCUCAGUACAUGGUUGGUUUUUCCUGUGUCCAGGUCCCAUCCUAAAGCUACCUAGGCCCCCUCUGCCCAACAAGAGUCUUCUCAUUAGCAAAAGAGUAAUUUCCAAGGGUGUUAGGAGCUCUAUGCUGGGAACCAGGGACCAAGAGUAAAUAUAUAUUUUGUAUUUUACCACAGGUACCAAUCACCCUCCAGAUCUAAGAAUGGCUUCAGGCUGGGGCUGCAGUCACCUCUUUGCCCAGCUUCUCCCCUGCCCUAUUCUGCUUCACUUGCAUCCUUAAAGGUUCCACCCAAGAGCUCUUCUACAAGAAAGCACCUAUAAAGCCAGACACAUUGGCUUAUGCCUAUAAUCCUAGCACUUUGGGAGGCCAAGGUAGGAGGAUGGCUUGAGGCCAGGAGUUCAAGACCAGCCUGGGCAACUUAGUGAGGCCCCGUCUCUAUAAAAAAUAAAAAAAUUAACCAGGUGUGGUGGUGCACGUCUCUAGUCUCAGCUACUCAGGAGGCUGUGGCAGGAAGAUGGCUUGAGCCCAGGAGGUUGAGGCUGCAGUGAACUAAGAUCAUGCCACUGCACCCAUCUUGGGCAACAGAAUGAGAUCCUGUCUCUAAAAAAAUAAAAACAAUUUACAACAGUAAGCACCUGUACACAAGCCCCAUCUCCAGUCCUGUUUCUAGGGCUUCCAAUUUAACACACCUAGAGGCUGGGCAUAGUAGCUCAUGCCUGUAAUCCCAAUACUUUGGGAGGCUGAGGCAAGUGAAGCACUUGAGGUCAGGAGUUCGAGACCAGCCUGGCCAACAUGGCAAAACCCCAUCUCUACUAAAAAUGCAAACAUUAGCUGGGCAUGGUGGCACAUGCCUGUAAUCCCAGCUACUCGGGAGGCUGAGACAGGAGAAUCACUUGAACCCAGGAGGUGGAGGUUACAGUGAGCCAAGAUCACACCACUGUACCACAGCCUGAGCAACGAAAGAAGACUCUGUCUAAAAAAAGUAAAAAAUAAAAUAAAACACACCUGGAGCUUUCUACAUCCCGUAGGUAUCUGUGUUUCUUUCUCGUGCCCUAUUUGACAGAGUUUCUUGAGCUCGAAUCUAUGUCUACUUUAUCUUAGCCUUCCUGUAACACCUGUCUCAAUGUCUUGCACAUAUAGAAUGCUCAGUAGAGUUUUUGGAAUAAGUAUUUCAUAUUUUGGAAUCAUUUACAGAGCAGGGGUUAAAUUCCUGGCUUAUUUUCUCUAGUUCUUAUUCUGCACCCCCUGCCCUGCAAACCUGCCACAUAAGCAGGUCAUUUCUCCACCCCUCAAGAUGAGGGCAAACAACUUCAGAAACUGCUCACAAACAGGCCCCUGUGGAAAUACCUCCAGGCCACUGGCAUUCCUGCCUGCUGCCAGAGACCUGGGAGGCUGUUCACUGCCUUGAGUAUUUUUGUUCUUUCCAACUUCUCUGCCCCAUCAAGUUAAACAGUCCUUAAGAGUAAAUAAAUGUGGC
RNAcentral lists this long non-coding RNA (3605 nucleotides) under Homo sapiens (human). RNAcentral describes it as "HSALNT0369847". Lineage: Eukaryota; Metazoa; Chordata; Mammalia; Primates; Hominidae. The record is from RNAcentral.